Molecule: long non-coding RNA, 672 nt
Filed under: Fukomys damarensis (Damara mole-rat)
Lineage: Eukaryota; Metazoa; Chordata; Mammalia; Rodentia; Bathyergidae
Description: lncRNA (ENSFDAG00000025811.1)
Source: RNAcentral
GUAUUUUUUCCUCAAUUUCCCAAUCAUGGGGACAAAUAUUUUCUUUGAUUCUUAUCAUUGAAAAGUUUUUUGUUUUUGUUUUUGUUUUUUUAUAGUGUCUCACUAAAUAGAAGGUCUAACUUGUCAUCCUCCUGCUUCAACAUCCCAGACUACUGAAAUUACAAGCAAGCACCACCACGCCCAGUUUGAAAACUUAUUUUUAAAACAGGAAGGCAGAGGCCAAACAGGGCUGAUUUCUCUAUUGUCUCAGGCUAAACUGCUGACAACCAAGAAGUAUGAACACUUGGCAGAACUUCAAACUCCAACAAUAACCAAUGGGCACAAGGAGUCUAUUCAGUGUCACUUUUCUGUGCCUCUGCUUUUCUACCUUGGGCACAUCAUACAAGAGGCUUUCUUCUCUGAUACAUAUGAAUUUCUUUUAAAGAUUAAGUAUUAUAAACACUAUUGUGUGGCGGGGUGUGGUGGCGCACGCCUGUAAUCCCAGCACUUGGGAGGCUGAGGCAAGAGGAUCGCUGCGAGUUUGAGAACAGCCUGGGCUAUAUAGUGAGUUCCAGGUCAGUUUCAACUACAUAGUGAGACACUGUCUCGAAAAACCCAAAAAACAAAAAACAAAACAAAACAAAAAAACACCAUUAUGUAACUAUUUUUAAGUACAUAUUAUCAGAAAAUCCA